GACCUUCGGGCCUCGCGCUAUCAGAUGAGCCUAGGUCGGAUUAGCUAGUUGGUGAGGUAACGGCUCACCAAGGCGACGAUCCGUAACUGGUCUGAGAGGAUGAUCAGUCACACUGGAACUGAGACACGGUCCAGACUCCUACGGGAGGCAGCAGUGGGGAAUAUUGGACAAUGGGCGAAAGCCUGAUCCAGCCAUGCCGCGUGUGUGAAGAAGGUCUUCGGAUUGUAAAGCACUUUAAGUUGGGAGGAAGGGCAGUUACCUAAUACGUGAUUGUUUUGACGUUACCGACAGAAUAAGCACCGGCUAACUCUGUGCCA
RNAcentral lists this ribosomal RNA (317 nucleotides) under Pseudomonas sp. R9.15. Its description in RNAcentral is "bacterial SSU rRNA". It matches the Rfam family "Bacterial small subunit ribosomal RNA", at positions 208 to 510 of the family's 1533-position model. The record is from RNAcentral. Lineage: Bacteria; Pseudomonadati; Pseudomonadota; Gammaproteobacteria; Pseudomonadales; Pseudomonadaceae.